UGAAUUGGAUGUUUAGUUGUGUCCAGAGGUGGAUCCAGUGACUCAAGUCUCAUAAACAGCACGGCUCAUACAGUGGUUUGAUGGGGGAUUGGUCGGAUGACAGCUGGAACUGUAGUCAUCACUGGAGGAAUCCUAGCAGCCUUCAUACUUUUGUGUAUUAUUGGAGUGCUUUGUUACUGCAGACUUCAGUACUAUUGUUGCAAGAAAGAUGAACUUUGUGAGGAGACGGAAGACAAUUCAGAUCACGGGGCUCACUCACACUUCCCCUGCCAUGACUGUUCUGCGCACCUCGAUGGACUGCCUCCUCCCUCCGCUACUCCAGCAUACUCCCCGUAUGGUUCUCCAUACUACAUACGGACUGCAGACACCAUUUGCAAUGGGAGGGAUAGAAGCUCCUACACUCCCACUCACUACGCAGAGCCAGGACCCCUCCUUGUGAUGGGGGGCACACCAAGCUUUUCUAGAAGCUUACACGCUCUCAGCACCCAGGUGUGAACAGGGAGAUGCCCCCUGGGUGUUUGAGAAUUUAACACUGCCAAGGAAUGCAGUAUGUUAACUAUGAGAAACGGAUGAAUAUCAAGUCUUCAGGAACACGGACAAAAGACAGAGGGAUGAGUUGUAGGCUUAGCAUGGGCAGUAGACAAAAAAUCCACCAUCGUCAGUAUUGGCACUAUUUAGUACUAUAAGUGCAUUGUGAAGGGUACAACGUCUCAUUAACACUGUGUUUUGUUUAGUAGGAAGAA
Long non-coding RNA from Spea bombifrons (plains spadefoot toad), 743 nucleotides. RefSeq lists it as uncharacterized. The record is from RefSeq and is a predicted model, not a curated record. NCBI's taxonomy places the organism in Eukaryota, Metazoa, Chordata, Amphibia, Anura, Pelobatidae. The transcript has 3 exons.